This 112-nucleotide ribosomal RNA is filed under the name Caerostris darwini. The record is from RNAcentral. Lineage: Eukaryota; Metazoa; Arthropoda; Arachnida; Araneae; Araneidae.
AACGGCCGUACCAUGCUGAAUAUACCGGUUCUCAUUCGAUCACCGAAGUUAAGCAUCAUUGGGCGCGGUCAGUACUUGGGUGGGUGACCACCUGGGAACACUGCGUGCCGUU